CGGAGAAUGUAGGAAAUAUAUGUAUCAAAAUGUGAGCUUACCAAAUAUAUUGAUAACAUACACAACAAAUAACAUAAAUUCUAAAUAAUUUUUUUUUCUUUAAAUAAAUCCGAAUUUUGUUGCUGUAAAUUAACUAAAAUUAUAACUACUUACUCCGGUCUCUUCUUGUACUUCUCUAACAGCGGCCGCACAUAUAUCUUCUCCCUAGAGGUCCGAU
Ipomoea nil (Japanese morning glory) is the source of this 217-nucleotide long non-coding RNA. RefSeq lists it as uncharacterized. The transcript is spliced from 3 exons. The record is from RefSeq and is a predicted model, not a curated record. NCBI's taxonomy places the organism in Eukaryota, Viridiplantae, Streptophyta, Magnoliopsida, Solanales, Convolvulaceae.